This 271-nucleotide non-coding RNA is filed under the name Neobacillus bataviensis. RNAcentral's name for it is "Bacillus bataviensis T-box sequence". It matches the Rfam family "T-box leader". Rfam says of the family: Uncharged tRNA acts as the effector for transcription antitermination of genes in the T-box leader family. T-boxes are found upstream of many aminoacyl-tRNA synthetase genes and some amino acid biosynthetic genes usually in Gram-positive bacteria. The record is from RNAcentral. Lineage: Bacteria; Bacillati; Bacillota; Bacilli; Caryophanales; Bacillaceae.
UCAAAAUCGAUGACGAGAAGAGUAGCUUGUAAAUCUUGUACUUUAGAGAGCCGGCGGUUGGUGAAAGCCGGUAACAGGACACAAGUGAAAAUCAUCUCCGAGAUGCAAGGCUGAAAAAAAGAAAAGCGGCAACGACCGUUUAUCUGAGUAAGCCUUUGCCGGACUGCCCACCGUUAAGUAAGGGACACGUAUGAUAGUACGUUGAUCGAGAGCCGCAUUGUUUUUUAGUAUGCGGAAUUAGGGUGGUAACGCGAGCAUGCUCGUCCCUUCU